UGAGGAAUAUUGGACAAUGGGGGCAACCCUGAUCCAGCCAUGCCGCGUGAGUGAUGAAGGCCUUCGGGUUGUAAAACUCUUUUAGAUGUGACGAUGAUGACGGUAACAUCAGAAAAAGCUCCGGCUAACUUCGUGCCAGCAGCCGCGGUAAUACGAAGGGAGCGAGCGUUGUUCGGAAUCACUGGGCUUAAAGCGUGCGUAGGCGGAUAUACAAGUCAGAAGUGAAAUCCCAGGGCUUAACCCCGGAACUGCUUUUGAGACUGCAAGUCUGGAAUUCGGUAGAGGUUAGUGGAAUAUCCAGUGUAGAGGUGAAAUUCGCAGAUAUUGGAUGGAACACCAGUGGCGAAGGCGACUAACUGGACCGACAUUGACGCUGAGGCACGAAAGCGUGGGUAGCAAACAGGAUUAGAUACCCCGGUAGUCC
This 424-nucleotide ribosomal RNA is filed under the name uncultured bacterium. RNAcentral describes it as "bacterial SSU rRNA". It matches the Rfam family "Bacterial small subunit ribosomal RNA", at positions 355 to 796 of the family's 1533-position model. The record is from RNAcentral.